RNAcentral lists this ribosomal RNA (481 nucleotides) under uncultured bacterium. RNAcentral's name for it is "partial 16S ribosomal RNA". It matches the Rfam family "Bacterial small subunit ribosomal RNA", at positions 28 to 507 of the family's 1533-position model. The record is from RNAcentral.
GAUGAACGCUGGCGGCGUGCUUAACACAUGCAAGUCGAACGAAACACCUUAUUUGAUUUUCUUCGGAACUGAAGAUUUGGUGAUUGAGUGGCGGACGGGUGAGUAACGCGUGGGUAACCUGCCCUGUACAGGGGGAUAACAGUCAGAAAUGACUGCUAAUACCGCAUAAGACCACAGCACCGCAUGGUGCAGGGGUAAAAACUCCGGUGGUACAGGAUGGACCCGCGUCUGAUUAGCUGGUUGGUGAGGUAACGGCUCACCAAGGCGACGAUCCGUAGCCGGGUAGAGAGAGUGAGCGGCCACAUUGGGACGGAGACACGGCCCAAACUCCUACGGGAGGCAGCAGUGGGGAAUAUUGCACAAUGGGGGAAACCCUGAUGCAGCGACGCCGCGUGAGUGAAGAAGUAUUUCGGGAUGUAAAGCUCUAUCAGCAGGGAAGAAAAUGACGGUACCUGACGAAGAAGCCCCGGCUAGCUACGUG